CCUUGUGAUUUGUAGUUGUGUUCUGUAAAGCUGUCACAAAUUCUGAAGUAGCAUUUACAGAACCACCGCUCCUUGGGAGAAGACAGGGGCUUGAUUUCUGUCAAGCUUCGGUCACAGCGUUUUUGUCAACUGAGCAGUACCUCAUCUCGUUCUAGGUGUGUCUCUGUUUAUAGGCACUUUGCGUAAAUUAAAGAGACUGCUGCUUCAGUAACGCUGACUUCACAGCCAACUCAUGCCUGUAGCUCAUGGCUGAUGGGGGCUUAUUUAACACUCAGAUAUUCUGUGGAAGGCACAGCUCGGUGAACAGCGGCAAAUCAGAUAUUCACAUUACUGGUGGUGGGGGGAUAAACCCUGUUCACGUCCUUUUUAUUAUAGAAAUGAUCAAUACGGCAAUAUUUAUUUGAAUGUCAAAGGCACACGUCACAGGUAUUCUAACCCCAUCAACAGUAAUGGGAGGAACCCCUCCUCCAUAAACGACAGCAGCACUGGACAAGAGUGGAAUCGGAAAGUUCGUGGAAAAUGGAAUUAACAGAAAAACCUGGGGCCAGGCGUUGUGGCUCAGCAGGUUAAGCUAGUGCUUGGGACACCCGCAUCCUGUAUUUGAAUGCCUGAGUCUUGCCUCUCCUGCUGAUGGCCCGGGUGCUGCCACCCACAUGGGAGACCCGGACGGAGUUCCUGGCUCCUGGCUUCAGCCUGGUCUAGCCCUGGCUGUUGCAAGGAGUGAACCAGCCGAUGGGAGAUCUCUCUGUCUCUUUCCCUCUCUCUCUGUCUCUCUCUUUCUUCUGUCGCUCUGCCUAUCAAAUAAAUAAAUACAACUUUUUUUAGGAGGAUACAUUUAUUUGGGUCCAACAAAUUGUGAAACCAUGCAUAGCUUUUUCAUAAUAUGCCAUUUUCAGACUUUUUGAAGACCCCUUGGACCCACGCCUGCUUGUCCGCUGCAGUGUUGUUUCGUAACAAAAUGAACGGAAUGCCCACCACCACACAGGGCAGUGUGUCCUCACCGUGGGGGAAGACGAACAUCCACAGAGUGUUUCCCGAGAUACUGCCUUUAAGACGUGGUUUUGAGACUCUGAGUUCGGCAUGACAAGGAGUCUGGUGUUUGUGGGUAGAGCCAGCUGGUUUAGCAGUGGUAUCUCAAUUCAAGACAAAGUUCUGUGAGGAGCCUUCAAAAGGUUGGUGGGAAAAUGCAUAUUAUGAAAAAAGCAGCUGUGGAUUUCAAAGCUUUUUUUCCCACCAAAAUAAAUUUACCUUUUAAUUCCA
This 1260-nucleotide long non-coding RNA is filed under the name Oryctolagus cuniculus (rabbit). RNAcentral's name for it is "lncRNA (ENSOCUG00000036374.1)". The record is from RNAcentral. Lineage: Eukaryota; Metazoa; Chordata; Mammalia; Lagomorpha; Leporidae.